This 538-nucleotide ribosomal RNA is filed under the name Vibrio sp. PB 4-31. Its description in RNAcentral is "partial 16S ribosomal RNA". It matches the Rfam family "Bacterial small subunit ribosomal RNA", at positions 1 to 522 of the family's 1533-position model. The record is from RNAcentral. Lineage: Bacteria; Pseudomonadati; Pseudomonadota; Gammaproteobacteria; Vibrionales; Vibrionaceae.
UGGAGAGUUUGAUCCUGGCUCAGAUUGAACGCUGGCGGCAGGCCUAACACAUGCAAGUCGAGCGGAAACGAGUUAUCUGAACCUUCGGGGRACGAUAACGGCGUCGAGCGGCGGACGGGUGAGUAAUGCCUAGGAAAUUGCCCUGAUGUGGGGGAUAACCAUUGGAAACGAUGGCUAAUACCGCAUGAUGCCUACGGGCCAAAGAGGGGGACCUUCGGGCCUCUCGCGUCAGGAUAUGCCUAGGUGGGAUUAGCUAGUUGGUGAGGUAAGGGCUCACCAAGGCRACGAUCCCUAGCUGGUCUGAGAGGAUGAUCAGCCACACUGGAACUGAGACACGGUCCAGACUCCUACGGGAGGCAGCAGUGGGGAAUAUUGCACAAUGGGCGCAAGCCUGAUGCAGCCAUGCCGCGUGUGUGAAGAAGGCCUUCGGGUUGUAAAGCACUUUCAGUCGUGAGGAAGGURGURKWGUUAAUAGCWSYWUYAUUUGACGUUAGCGACAGAAGAAGCACCGGCUAACUCCGUGCCAGCAGCCGCGGUA